AGCAGCCGCGGUAAUUCCAGCUCCAAUAGCGUAUAUUAAAGUUGUUGCAGUUAAAAAGCUCGUAGUUGAAUUUCGGGAUCAAGUCGUCGGUCGUGCUCAGGUACGUACUGGCGUCAUUGAUUUCUCCCUUCUGACGAACCAUGAUGUCAUUAAUUUGGUGUCAUGGGAAAUCAGGACUGUUACUUUGAAAAAUUAGAGUGUUUAAAGCAGGCUCACGCUUGAAUACAUUAGCAUGGAAUAAUGAAAUAGGACGUUCGAUCCUAUUUUGUGGUUUUUAGGAUCAACGUAAUGAUUAAUAGGGAUAGUUGGGGCAUUAGUAUUCAAUUUGUCAGAGGUGAAAUUCUUGGGAUUUAUUGAAGACUAACUACUGCGAAAGCAUUUGCCAAGGGAUGUUUUCAUUAAUUCAAGAACGAAAGUUUAGGGGGAUCGAAGACGAUCAGAUACCGUCGUAGUCUUAACCCAUAAAA
Molecule: ribosomal RNA, 467 nt
Filed under: uncultured Glomus
Lineage: Eukaryota; Fungi; Glomeromycota; Glomeromycetes; Glomerales; Glomeraceae
Description: SSU rRNA
Rfam family: Eukaryotic small subunit ribosomal RNA
Source: RNAcentral